Long non-coding RNA from Brassica napus (rape), 3601 nucleotides. RefSeq lists it as uncharacterized. The record is from RefSeq and is a predicted model, not a curated record. The transcript has 2 exons. NCBI's taxonomy places the organism in Eukaryota, Viridiplantae, Streptophyta, Magnoliopsida, Brassicales, Brassicaceae.
GAUGCAUCCGACACCAUGGAAGAAUCAUCAUCAUGUUCUUGUUUUGUUACUCCAUUGUCAUCAUCAAAAUGAUGCAAUGUAACAGAAGAAGAAUGGUCUAAGUACAUUGUCCAACCUGAUUCUCCCGCAUCGCUGCUUCAAGGCCUUUAAGAAGAAGAUACACUCUUUUGAUGCAGCCAUUGCAGAAGUUAUAAGGGCAUUGUUUGGAAAAAUAAAUAAAUAAAUAUAUGUAUAUAUAUGUAACAUAUCUCUUGAAAUUUAUUUCACUUUUGAAACUCUAAAAUAAAACAUAUGGUUGUCGAAAAAUACAAGCUAGUUUGGGGAGAAAUAUCCAAAAAAAUAUGUCAACCAAAUUUUGUUAAGCUUAUUAAUAUCUAAACUUUUUAGUAUUCAGUUUAAUACUUCAACUAAUAAUUUUUUUCAUUUUAAUACACUAACUUUAAAAUAAUGUUCAUUUUGAUUAUCAAACUAUGUUAAUUAUAAUCAUAAAUAUUACUCCCUCCGUUCUUUAAAGAUGUAUGUUUUGGAAAAAAAAUUUGUUUCAAAAAGAUAUAUUUUUUACUUUUUCAAUGUAUGAUUUUAUGAAAAAUUAUAAGUUUCAAAAAAAUUAAUGGUGUUUAUUGAAUUUCUAUUGGUCAAAAGUUAUGAAAAAUUGUUAUUCACAAAAAACAAUGUAUAUGUAAUGAGUUUUCUUAAUAUAUGUGAAAAGUCUAGAAUAUGCAUUUUUUUUUAAAAACAGAGGGUGUAAUAGAUUUCAACUGAAAAAAAUUCUAAACUCAUAAAAAAUAUUUGAAAAUAUCUAAUUUAAUUUUAAAAUUUUAUGAAUAAAAAACUAACUAAACUUUGGAUGAUAUUUUAAAUUGUAGAAAAACUUAAUUUUGAAUGAAAAUAAAUAAAUUAGUAUUAAGUUUCAGACAAUAUAUUAAAUUUGAUAUUAUAAAUAAAACUAAAAUUUUAUAUUUUAUAUUUUAAUUUUAAAGUAUCCAUGAUAAUUAUAUUUUUAUUUUGAAACUUAAAAUAAAAUUAGUAAAUUUUGCAGAUUUAUUUUUUGAAUUUUGGAGAUUUUUAAUUUUCAUAAAACAUUAUCAAUAUUUUUUUUUGGAAGAAUAGUUUGUAAGCAAGUAUUAAACUCGGUAGUAAAAAAAUUUUGGUAUCAAAGAUAUUUUAUUUUGACCGAAAAAGAUAUUUUAUUUUUUUCAAGUUGGGGUUUUCACUUUUCAGUCACCUACUAAUCUAGAAUCAAUACAUUAUGAUAUUAAAAAGCGUUUAAUUUUGUCUUAAGUUUGUUUAAAGUGAGAUCAUUCUUUCUUUUGUUUGUUCUUCCACCUAUAGUAAAUUAAUCCAACAUAUCAUUGGAGAUUGAAAUGAUGUGAUAAUUUUUGACAUUUUGUAUGAGAACAAACAAAAUUAUUUUAUUCUUGUCGUUUUAAGUCUAAACUUGAGAUCGAAUACAAAACUCAAAAAGACAAGAAAGGCAAUAUAAUUUAAGAAAUGUUUUGUCUCAUAGCGCAGAGCUCGUUUUGGACACUCUAGCUUGCAUUCAGUAGAUAAUUGACAGUUGGCUAACUGAUUAUAAACGUUGGGCCAAGAAACGGCCAUAGUUUAGUGGUAGUAGUAAUAGAUGUCACGUACUAUUCAUUUACAUCCCAUCUUACAAAAUACUUUACACCUACGCCCGGCACCAUCCUUUAUAGGUGACUACCUCAGAAAUUUAUACUUUAAAAUGGAUAAUAGAAGCAAUUGUAUUGUGUUACAAAAAAAAAAAAAAAAGAAGCAAUUGUAUUACUUGUUUUCUUUUGCUUAAAUAAUUGUAUUACUUGUUACGAAAACAUGAGUAGGUAUUUAAUUGUUUAUCCCAUAAUAACCUUAUUACGUAUUUUGAAUCGUUUCUGGUAUUGACGCAAUCUGAAUCAUGCAAUUGGAUAGUAUUUUUUUAAGUUAUUUUUAGGUAUCAAAUGAGUAUUUAGGUUACCUUUGGAUUUUUUUUUUGUUGAAUAUGAAGAAUUUUUUUAAAAAAAAUAUAUAAUUUUGAUAUUUUAAAAAUUAAAUUUAUAUUUUUUUAAUAGAAUUUUGAUAUUUAGGCUACCUUUGUAUUUUUCUUAUUUUAUCAAACUCUAUACUCCCCCCCUUUAUGUUUUAGAAGAUAUUUUUUGUUUCAAAAUAGAUAAUGUUUUGAUAUUUUUAUAUUAUUUUUAGCUAUACGGAAAACUGUGUAGCCAAUCAGAUUUUUCAGUCAUUUUUAUAAUCGGUUGAAUUAUUUUUAAAACAUAUUUUUAAAGUUGCUUUUUUAGAGGAAACUAAAUUUUUUAAUAUUUGUGCAUCAAAGUAAAACAUCAUAUAUUGUGAAACAGAGGGAGUAUCAUUUAAAAUAUGGAAAUGAAUAUUAUUAGAAUUAUGAAAAUAAAUUAUUUUACAGCGAUCGUCAAAGAGAGAGAAGCGAGAGAAGAGAGAGAAGCGAGAUCUACUCCGGCGUACGGCCGGUGCGUGAGCGUCCGUGCCGUCACCGGAGCCUUGUUUUCCUUCUUGGUUUGUGGUCCUUAUCGCUUCCUCUUCACAGAUCCGUCAACGGUUGCCUUGUCGGAGCUCUAAAGCCGAGGUUUUCCAUUAGAGGAGAGUCGGUUUUUGGAGUAACGACGCGGCCGUUUUGAAGGUUCGCGGUGGAGAUGGAGCGGCGUGCAUGUUGCAGUCGUUCUACCCGGGAGAUGGAGGCUAACCUAGAUCCAUCAUCGCCGGUCUUGUCGCGGGGUAGGGUGGAGGCUUUCUCAGUUCUACCGACGCCGCUCUAGCUUCCGGGAAGAGGAGGCUCAAUCAGCUCCUUCUUCGCCGGCUUUUGGUCACGGAGGGUGGAGGCUAACAAAGCUCCGCGCUGUCGUUGUGGAAUCCCAGGUCUUUUGGGUUGAGUUUAGGGUUUCGAGUUCUUGAAGGUUGAGGUGUGUCUUGGGUCGCAGCGGUUGAGAUCUUAAGAAGAAGAAGAUCUCCGGCGACGGUUGUGUUUGUUUGAAGAGGAGGUUAGCGGUGGUUCUCGGCGUGCUUGUCUAGGGUUUCCGGUGAUUCAUAGGCGGAAGAGAUCUCGUUUCAAACGAUUGAACUCUCCGACGGGAAGACAAGGCGUCGAAGAAGUCCGAUGGCGCGGAGGCUCUGUAGGCGCGGAGCUCCGGCGGAAAAGGUGUGACGGUGGAAAGCGUCGGUGGCUGUGCGAGGAUGGAGGGUCUAAGUUGAGGCAGGCGACACGUGGCAGGCGGAUGAGCCAGAUUCUUACGCGUGUUCGGCUCUGCCUCCUUCCCGCGCGUCCAGAGCAAGCCCGGCGUCGCUGGUUGUGGGCCUUGGGCCAUGUUUCUUAUUUGGGCUUCGGCCGUUUCUUUUUGUUGCCCACCUGUUAUUUGGGUUUUCUGGUUUGUAAUCCGGUGAAUUUGGGCUUCGGCCGGCUAGGCCCAUUUGAUCAAUAUAAUUUCAAUUUGAGGAAAAAAAAAUUAUUUUACAGUGACCAGAUAAAGUUUGUGAUAGCACUUGGGCUCAGAUUCAGAUAUUGGAACUUUAUAGAGCACCAACAUUUCUGAUAUGUGAGACAAUACUUUAGCUAUUAAAAAUUAAAAAAAAUAGU